CUUUUUUGUAUAUACACCACAAAAAAGAUGCUUCUUUAACGGAAUCCUGCCUACCCCACCUUUAAGCACAAGAUCAGUUAUGCAGUUGCUUUUUGAAAUAAAUGGUUAUCAAAUAAUGGGUUACAGUGCAACGUCUAAAUUCCUUCUAAAAAUAUACAGAAUCUGGUUAAAAUUGGGUCUAAAAAAGAAAAACGAGACAUCUAACAGCCAUCUAUUGCUCAGUGGGAUCCUAGUAAUGCUCCUGUUUUAAAGAAUGUUUUACCCUGGACUAUCCUCUUGCUCACCAGGUGAAUGAUCAGUUUUGGCACGCUUUGUGUGUGAAUAAGAGCAUGACUGGAAUCUUAUCCAACUGUUGAAGAAAAGAGACGAGGAGUGUUAAAUGGGAGCUAAGGGCGUCUGUGGAUGGAUUGCAGAAUCUCACCGUAAAAGGCAAACACACAUCAGAUCAGCCUUGGAGUAAAUUUCAAUAAUAAACUAAACAGGACCCGCAGAGUAACAGCAUCAAAAAUGAUGGCGUCUUCAGUUUUCUACUAUAAUUAGACCCAUGCAUAAUAAACACACACAUACACACCACCUUCGCUGGGUUAUUUUACAAGGAUUACGCUCGUGAUUACAUGGGGCACUUUUAUAGGCAGCUCCCACAUUCCAGCUUUUCUGUAUCACACUCCUGUUUUUUUCUUUCUUACAGUUCGACUCCACCUCCUCUACUUUCAUUUCCAGCAAAAAAAGAAAUUUAUACAAGCAGAGAGUAUGGGAUCAAGGGGCUUGGAAAUUAACAUUCAAUCACACUUUUAGCCCAGUGAAAGAAAUUAAAUUCAAGUGGGUUCAUGCCUUUUGCUCCCCUAAACUGUAUGCAACUACAUCUCCCCCUGUCUCUUUCUUCCUCUCUCUUUCUGCAAGUGUCUCAAACCCGUAAGAGCUGGUUCAAUAAGUGAAUGGUAAUCCCUGUAGAGGCAGAGAGCAGCGCCUUUGUAGUUCAGAGGGCAGAUUAGCAUGGUGACCGUGGAGAGAACAGAGUCCUUUGUCUCACUAAAAGCCUGGGAUUAGAUACGAGAACUGGCCUGCGAACUUGUGGGAGUUCUGUGUGGGUUGUGCGUCUGUGUGUUUCAAUAAAAUCAGGUCAAUUUUUUGCUGUUUUAUCAUCUUAUCAUGACAAAAAUGACUAUGACAAGUCAGGUGAAAAUACAUUUUGGUAGUAUGGUGACCAUUUGGUCAAGUUGUUCAGCACAGAAAAAACAAAUAAUGCGCAGAGUUAAAGGUUACAGUUUAUGAAGGAUUAGUGGUGCAGCAAAGAGAAUUAGCCCAACUGUAAAGCACUAAAGACGAGUUGAUAGUUGAAAGGAUCAUGAAAAGAAAAGGGAUGAUACUGAAACUGUGUGCAAAAAGGAUGAUGCUUGAAUUGAUUGCCAAAAGAGGUACGCUUGUAAAAAAAGUGCAUGUGUAGUGCUCACAUUUAAUAUAAAGAGGACUGUGUUUUAAAUUAUAGCCACAUAAAGGAGGCUAUUGUAAACUAGAAAAGCACUCGGAGAGCACAGACCUCCGCCAAGAAGCUCAUGUCCCCCCUUAAACAAGAAGCACCCUGACCAGGAUUCGAACCCAGGCCCUUCUGGCUGUGAGGCGACAGUGCUAACCACUACACCACUGUGCCGCCCAUUGGUUAUCUUUCAGCAUUGAAAAUUCCAACGACACCCUUAUUUUUGUGUGUUCUGGAUUACAGUAUCCAGAAUUUUGUCCGGAUCACCACCAGAAUUUAAUGGGAACCUCCUGGGGCUGAGACGCACCUCUGGUGAAAAUUUCAGGUCAAUCUGUCGGUUACUUUCUCCGUAAAGUUGCUAACAGACAAACAAACUCAUAAACAAACAAACCAACGCUACCGAAAACAUAACCUCCUUGGCGGAGGUAACAAGAGGAAAGGUUAUGCUUACAUGGAAAGCUGAUAUACUGUAUGAUGCUGAUGAUCAAAAAGAUCAACGUCUUCUGGAGAAGAUUUUGAAGAAAAUAAAGACGCCAUAAAGACGGCGCUCACCAAGACAUGUCUCAAGUAAAAGACAUGAAGCAUUACAUUCAAUUUUUAGUCCAUUUAUAAGUAUUUAAAAUCUAAACUCCACUUGACUUGAGUUCGAGUCUUCAUAUGCUGUUUAAGUUCUCAUAAACUGCUGUAGCAUUUCAGUCACAAAUGUCAAAAAAGGGUGUUUGUUCGAGUUGAAAUAGAGGUUCCUAUUUUCCCGCCAUGUUAUUUGCAAAUGUUACGCAGACCAUUCAAAAUGUAUUCUUUAGCAGAAAGAGUGCUAUAGAGCAUUCAUGUGCCAAAUGUCACAGACUGCUUUGUUAAACUGGUUGUUUUUUAUUCUGCAAAGUGAUGAAAUUAAAAAAAAAAAGUUUUCUUUGUUUUCAAAAAUUCACACAGUAUAGUCGUCCCAAAUUAAUCGGUUUGACAGGCAGUUUACAGACCUGACCGUAUCAAAAAUCUGCUGAUCCACUCUUUUGGACUGAGAAAACAUGUAUUUUAUAAAUGUCAAACAUCAACUUCAAGAUGUUGGGACUCUAUCAUUUAAAGAGUCAGUAAAGGUAGCAGCCAUCUAAGGGUUUCCCUCUGUCUGGGGGCUCAGUAUACCGUAGAUACCUGAUAACAGCAGAGCAGGGAUGCAGAAGCAGAGAUCAGGACACAGAGUGAGCAGAGAAAGAGGGAAAGACUUACAGAGGAUCAAGUUCUCGGAAAUCAAGGCACUGGUUUAAGCAAAUAAAUAAAGACGCUAUGACGAGGAAUGACUAGGGAUAGCUUAUGACUUUUAUUCAUAAUGCGCGCACACUCACACAAACACACACCCAUUCCACCCUCUACAUCAACAAACAUGCACCCGGAUUUAGAACCACCGAAAAAUGCCAGCAAUGAAACAGUGUUAUGAGAACAACCACCACCGCCAAGAUCUGGUCCUUGACUUUGCAUGAAUGUGUCUGUGUCUGUGUAUGAAUUAGUGCAUCAUGGGUAUUUUCUCAGACAAGAAAGGAAAAUUCAACGCUAAUGCAAAGUCACCGUUGAGCCUCUAACUUAAGGGUAAUAAGCCGACCACAAACAGCUCUCUCUGCGUACAUUUCCUCACCGCUCACAUUUACUGACCGCUGAAUAACUUGAAGACACUCUCGGGAGUAACCCAUUUAAAAAAUGAAAUGACCAUGCAAGGUUCAAGUGCAACUUUAUUUUAACUGCCUAUUUGUCUGGUAACGUGAGAUGCAAUUUGCGGCACAGUUCAACUGUGGAAAAAGUCAUUAUCUUUACAUUGAGUUCGUUUAUUUCAUCGUGGGGAAAACAACCCUCUCCCUGCCUCCAAUCUGCUGUUAUUCAUAUUACUAUUGAAUUUAUGAAUCUGAAAUGCAAUUUUCCUGUGGUUUUAAGGCUAUUGGCACCUUCUACCACUUGGACAGUCACACAGGGUGGAAAAAUACGUAUGGUAGUGUGUGUGUAAGAGAUUGUGUGCGUGUGUAGAGAGAUACACAGGGGUAUCGUUACACAAAACUAUCAUCUGCUGCCACUGUAACACUCACACACACACAUACACACACACUCAAACUGGAGACCAGCUGCCUUUACUAUAAAGUCAGGAAAUGUCUGACGAUUACUCAGAGAAGCGAGCAGUAUUAUAUUCAGGGAGGUAAAGCAGCACACUGUGAUUUCAGGUUUUGAAUUUAAGGGAAAACAACUUAAUCAUUACUUUGGAUUAACAACCUCCACAAAGCCUCAAAAGCCUUGCAGCAUGAACAUUGUUUAUUCCCACUGUGCCGUCUGCCGAGGAAUAAAUUUCUUAAAUAACACAUUAGGGUUAUUUCUGCCUUAACCACAAAUUCAACAGUUGCAUUUUUGUGGCCCUUUAUGUUUUAUGUGUUAGAACUGAAUGCCAUCAUUAAGUAAUGUCUCAUUACAUAAGGAGAAAAAUCAAAGUGAUGUACAGAAGAAAGUAGUUUAAGAAAAAGAAAGAAUUUGACUGAGGAAUGAAUUUAUAGGAGCAAAGGGAACAUAUUUGGACAAAACUUGUAGGAAUCCAGGAUAAUCAAAGAGGACCAAAAAAUCUUAUUUUGUAAAUUCAUCAAUAAAAAUCCAGUGACAGUACUUAACGGUCUGUAGGGGGCCUUAUGCUGCGUUCAAGUUACCUCGGAAGUCAGAUGUCGGAGAAUGACAUCACACCCGAGUUACCAGCGUUUCAGUAACCAAGUCGGAAAAAAGCGAAAUCAGAGGCGGAAAAAAAGAUGUUGCAGAAGGACCGCCUAUUUGUCCACAAGUUGCUUUUUACAGACAAGGCAAGUGCUAAAAUAAUUUGCGUAGAUGUAGCCAUCUUGUUUUCAUCUCCGAUUUUGCUUUUUUCCGAUCUGGUAACUGAAGCGCUGGUAACUCAGGUGUGAUGUCAUUCCCAGCUCCGACAUCUGACUUCCGAGGUAACUCGAAUGCAGCAUUACUCCUGAAAUCAAAAUGUUGAUACCCCUUUAUUAAACCACAGUUGAAGUUGGUGUUGUCGAAUAAGUGCCUAUGAAGGUCUAGUAGUUGGUUGACUUUAAUGCACAAGACGCUGCAGGAGUUUACCUAUCAAAUGAAACUGGAAGUCAAUGCAACUUUUUUUUAAACAAUCUGUUGUUUAAGUGUUUUUUUGUUUUGUUUACCAAUAAAUGUGGUUUAUAUAUUGUUUUCCUGAGUGAUGAGGGGCCCUACAUUACAAUAAAUGCCAAGGUCCUAACUAUUACCAAAAAUAAAAUCACUUGUCAUGAGUGUCACUCUUCAAUUGCCAAAUGGAGCACUCUUGUGUACACAAUAAUGGCUUUUCACCAUGAAGUCUUCAUGGAACCACUCGGCUGUCAAACUAACAACACUCACUGGACUAGAUGUCCAAAUGUCUGUGGACGGACUUUUCUGAUCAGACUGUAAAUGUGUGCCGGGAUCAUAUCAGGAGCGCUGACACAAGAAACUCUUCCAAAAACACUGUUAGCUAGUGAAAGCCUUGGUCUUCUAUCUAAGGUUUUGUAAAUUCAGUGGAUUUGUUAAUAUUCCAUUUAGUUUUGGAUUGCCUCUGGUAAACUCUCUGCAGCUCUCAAAUUGGCACUAUAGCACCCACUGUUGUAUCGGUGCUAGAGCUGGAAACAGCCACUGCUACUUUGUAUUUCUUUUCCAUUUGUUGGAGAUCUUUAAGUUGGCCAAAGUGGGUUUGACUACUUUCAGAUUGGUGUGAUUCUGAGGGACUGAAUAUAUUUUGUUACAGAAAUCUAGUAACUCCUCCAGAAAGCAGUGACAGGCUGGCCCGUUACCCAAAGACCAAGAGAACAUUGGCCCAAAAGUGCAAUUAAAAAUCCUCUACAGUCACUGUGGUGGUGAAACAAACACUUCACUUUCUGGAUUAAUAAAAUGAUUAGAAAAUAAAAUUAAAAAAAUUGUUUCAAUCAACCUUGAUCACUGAAAAUGUAUGGUAUAGUUUGUUCUAUUUUCCCUGUACUGAUAGGACAGCUGAAGAGGGACAGGGGGAUGUAAGGAGCAGAGAUUAGAGAGGGGAACAUGCAACAAGGGAUUCAGAAGGUCUUACAGGGAUAUUCUGAUGUAAAAUUAAUUUAGGGUCAAACACACUGUGACACCGAGUUAGACACCCCGUUGAGAGAUUAAUGUUGCCGACCGCUUGCUUCUCUAGUUAUACCAACUUUAGUAGAGACCACACGAUAGCAAUACACAGCGGUCUGAGGAGCCAUAAACAAACCUCAACCAAAACACCACUCUAUACCCACAAAUAAUACUCAGAACAGCACCUAACUUCAUCAACAGUACAUAUAGGGUCCAAGCCAUCACACUAUCCACCAAACAUCUUUUUAACUUUGCCUAAUUUCUUUAGCAAAGAGACUAAACACAACUCACCUACUCAACUCAACCAAAGAAGACCCUAACUUAAUUUUACAGUGGAAUAUCCCUUUAAGCCUCCAUACAUUUGAAAAAGCUGCAGGCCAACCCCUGCCCCAAAUGCACUGAAAUAUAAAAAUAUGAGGAUCCAUCUCAGCUCAAAAUAAAAACUUGUUAUGACACAAGAAAUGUGAUUACACCCCUAAAACAUGUUUGGGUGUUCGUCUUUUGACUCUGUUGCUGCUUACAUGCUCAGGUGAUGUUUGGUUCAUAUGUGUCAAAGUCCAAAAGUUAAGUCUUUGACAAUUCCCAAACAUUUCCCUCUCCAACUUUCAGGCAUGCAGAACGACCUUCUGUUUCCUCAAAGGUUUCUUUGUCCCAUUAAAUUUGUCUUUAUUGUUCUAAGUUCUACGUUUACACGUCUGCACCCGUUCAUCUGAGAGUUCAGAGAUGUCCUUAGAAGGGCAGAAAGGAUGUGACGUUUGGUUUUUUGAGCAAAGUUGUGGGAACAGUGUCACUCAGGAAUGUUGAGGCUUCGAAGCAAAGUACCUCCACUGUACACAAACACAGAGAUCCCAUUCUAAAUCUCCUAAAAUAUCGUCAGUCACAUCUCUGAGCUUGGAAGACAUAAUUCUGCCAGCUGCAGGAAGAGAACCGUGGCAAAACGAGGGAUACUGAAGAGAAAGAUGGAAAUAAACCACAGAUAUUUCAAACAUCAUUAUCAGGUCUGUUAACUUUCUCCAUUCAAAAGGAAGUAAAUGAAACGAGCUUUGAUCCAAACUGGGACAGUAUGACUUACUAGAAAAGCAUCAGACAGAGCUCCCAUGUCUGUCUACACUUUAUACACAGAAGACCUCAGCUGGUGUCACAGAUGGCUCUCAGACACAUCAAAACUGACUGCAUGAGCAUUUUUGAGGCAUUUGUGGGUCAUAUUUUUUCAUAUUUAUGUGGCAUGAAGUCUCUUUUCUAUGCCAGUGUCCUCAGGUGCAUUUGUGUUCAUAAGUGUUUAUGUGCUUGGCUGCAGCAACCUUUUAGCAAAUCAUUCACCCGUGCAUUUUUUUGCAAUGAAUAAAACCCUGCUGGGGCUUAGAUUUCCACCACACACACUGAGCUAGAGAUGAAAAUCAGGGAACAAGAGAGGGAUCUGCAUAGUGUAUGAUCUGGACCGCUCUGCCAUGUUUACACAGAGUUUUUUAUUACAGGCCAAAGGAGGAGGAAGCAAAAAGUCUUUAUCGCAUUAAUAAUAUCUUUGUCAGAUUCCUACAAGACACGGGGUGAUGGAAAAAACAGAUCUAGAGCAGAGAGAGAGGAGGUGGAGGAGGAGGAGACUGAACUGUAUUGAAGAGCUUUGAAUCAAAGAAACGAGUAACAAGCAUCUUGUCUUGUAUUUUUGGCAAAAAAGACAAAGGUGUACAAAAAAGAAAUGUUGUCCUAGUUCUUGUCAAAGUCAAGCAAAAUUGUUGAACACCUGUUUCAAAUGGCUGCACAAUGUCGUUUUCAAAUAUUGAUUUUGUAUUCACGCCAGCAAGUGACUUGAAAAGCAAAAAUGGAGCUGGAUUUGUGCCGUGACAAACACAGACGCACUUCUUUCAGGUAUCUAUCUUCAGACGCUGAUCAAAGCUACAUCCUGGUCAUGUGACCCAUGAUGGGAUCUGCAUUGCUCAGCCUGUUCCACUGCUCUUGUUCCCCACAGACGGUUUUCCUCUACAUGGCCAUGGCCUUGAGUUGCAAGAGAAUGAAUUUUCACAGACUACAAAAAGAGAGCAUAACUCUUGUGAUACGUCAUCCAGUCCUGUACUUAGAUCCUGCAUUUUUAUCACAUUUCCUCAAUAAAUCCUUUGAAGAUAGUUGUAAACUAUCUUUUUUUCAGUCAAUUUUUUUAUGUUAUCAUUGAUCCAAUAUUACAAUUAAUUUUCAGACGAACAGAUCAGCGUAAAGCAUUUUUUAACAGACACAAAACAAAAUUUCGCUUGAACAAGCCGCUGGAUAAACCUGCGAUGAAUCACAUUGACAAAAUGUACGACAAAGUAGUAAACUGCAAGGCUAGGUAGCUGAUUGUAGUUUUAAAUUCAUGAGACUACAAGCCUAAUAUCUCAAACAGAUGUCAGGAAUAACAUGACUGAGGAAGCAAAGACCUGGCUUACAGUCUAUUUUGCCCAAGAGUUGUGUAUUCGGAGGACGUAACAUCAGCUUUAGCCUUCUCGGUGACUCACGACAGUAAACAUUAUUGAGUGCAUUACAUGUAAACCCAACUCAGAUUAGAUCAAAUAAACCAACAGAUCUGUCUGAUUCACCAGUGAGUAGAAUGUGAUUGACUAUCACAGAAACCAUUGCAGGUGUACAGUGGGGCUCCAUGAUUUUGGCCAAAAAUAAAGUCCAGAUUUUUUUCUCUGAAAACUCGAUUUUCGAUUU
Xyrichtys novacula (pearly razorfish) is the source of this 8278-nucleotide non-coding RNA. The record is from the annotation of a GenBank genome assembly. NCBI's taxonomy places the organism in Eukaryota, Metazoa, Chordata, Actinopteri, Labriformes, Labridae.